CGCUGAUUGGUCGGCGGACCGGACUCGCGGCUUCUCAUCAGAUCAGUCUUCAAUAAUCAGUCAUGAUCCGAGCUCCACGUGCGCCUGAGACGUGGACCGGGACCCGACGGGACGCUCCACGCGGACGUGUCCGCGGGGCGACCAGGUGAGCCGUAGGGUUCCCAGGACCCACUUCCGGUGUUUCUGUGUGUUUUAUUUCUCUGCUCGUGUUGGUGAAUAUUCUGCAGAUUUAAAUGAUGUAAGUCAGGACAUGCGUGACGUCAUUCACAGACUCGGCGCUACAUCAUAAAUAAUCCUUCCGGUCGCUUUAGUGUCGUUGUGUAAGUGUCGCGUUUAUGUCUCAGUGACCGUGCGUGGAUCUACAACAGCUGCUGUGCGGCUCCGCCUGUGGUCCACGCGUGGUCACCGCGUCCCACCCUGCUGUCUGCUGCUAACACCUGGGUGUAUUUGACACACUCGUGUUUUAGUUUCUUUUUCUCUGUCACAUAGAGCAGGGCAGAUAAAAUAUUUAUCACCAUAUACAUUUGAAAAUGUGCGAUAACGAUAUAACUGACGAUAUAAUUGACACUGGACAAAAUACUUUACAACUCCUCAACUUUAUUAGUGCAAAACCAUCAAUGUAUGUUCACUUAAUCAACCAGCUGUUUUUUUUAAUCUGCAUUAAAGUUAUAUAAACAUUUAACAGUGCAAAUUGCUCGCUAACAGUUUAACCAAAAGGCAUUUCCAGUGGAAACCGGCCGACAUAUCCUCAGCAUAACCAUGUACAACAUCCACAAACCUUAAAAAGAGGCUCUACACACACAAUACAGUAAUAGACCCUGUGCACGAGACAAUGCUAACUUCCUGGUUUGAGACCGGAUGUGGGGUUGUACAUUUCCGGUAGCUUUACUUUGCGGUCAAUCGCUACUGCGAAGAUAUAUCCUCCACAAUCAUGUCCAAAACUCUAAAACGGAAAGAUGGUGUUAAGUUACAAAGAGAAGGUGGGAACGCUCACCGCUGCUGUGUCAUAAAAAAUCUAAUGAUCAGUUUAAAGAGUUUAGAUCGAUCAGCUGUUUACUUCACUCAACACAAGCAGAACUGCAUCGCUGCAGCAGAAGACACAUCGUCCACAUGCAGAAGCACAUCUCUGUGUAGUGACUGGUCUCAUGAUCUAAACAGGCAAAUGUUCAGCAUUCAAACUACAGGUGAAGAACAGUCAAACCAGAUGUUUCCCCGUUAUGUCGAGAUCAGCUCGUCAAGUACACACCUACACCUCCUUCUUGAGCUCUCAGCGAAGGCGGUCGCACUUUCUCCUCUCCUCCUCACCCUUAUCUUCCCUGCUUCGCCUCUAUGUCCUUGUCUUGUCUUGUGUGAAUUUACUUUCCCUGGAACAGUCUCUCACUGUCGUUCUCUAAACCUAAAAGAGAAUUAUGGAUUUGAUCAAAAGACUGACAACACCACGGAACAGAAGUUUGAUACCAUCAUGGGGAGGCUCGCAGCUCUUCAACGGGAGCUCGAGAGACCAGCCUCGGAGUGCUAGAAUUCGAGCUGCUCACAAAGGAGAAAUCAACAAUAUUCAACAUUUGGACACCACGGCGCCAGCUGCAGGCCCAAGGCUGGAGCCCACCAAAACAACUCCCUGAUAACGACUGUGUGAUGACUAUUCUUCCCGCCCCAUGAAGGACACCUGGAUUGGCUGGAGGACUGUUUACUUAGCCUGAUAGGCCGAAGGACACUGUCUCAGCUAAACUAUGGACACGCACACACACACACUUACACUGAUAAGCACUCACUCAUCCCCCUCCCUUUCCAACGCCUUCGAUGCUUGUGCCCUACCGGGGAUGAUAGCAGUCAACUGGACCAGCACAGAUGCUGCAGGACCGGAUGCGCUGUCUACGCCGGCUCUCUCUUACCCUUUACCCGCCCCUGUUGCUUGUCUCGUGUUUCUAUGGUGUAUUGAUAGUCAUGUGCUUUUGUGCUGAGGUGUUUUUUCUGUUAUCAAACUGUUCUUCCACCAGGAGCUCAGUCUGAGUGGAGUUUUUUUUUCUCCUCCUCUCACCUCAUGUAGUGUAUUUUCGUUGUUUUUUUCCUAUCAGCCUACCUUUCUGACAUGUCUGCCCAAUGUGAUGUUUGUGUAAAGUUGGUCAGAAGGUUCCUUUGUGAGUGCGCAUGCGCCAUUAGCGUGCUGCCUGCUGUAACCCUAAUUUCCCUCGGGAUGAAUAAAGUAUUCUGAUUCUGAUUCUGAUACACAGCAUGUUAACAAACCGUGAAAAAAGCCACACAAAAAACGAAUGACUGCUGGUAACGGUUUCUAUACAUUAGUAUGUAGGAAGGGUAUGUUGUGACUUACCUUCAAAAUUACAGCGGUCCCUCGCUAUAACGCGCUUCACCUUUCACCUCGCUGUUUCAGAUUUUUUAGUGCAAGUUUGCUUAUUUUUACAGCACAUUGUGUCCUGCGUCCUGAUCGCUGCAGACGAUCUCCUCUGUCUCUCCUGUACAGCACAGAAUUGCUGCAUCGAUGCUAGCAGUGUGACUCUGCAGUGCAGUGCUGUAUGUCCACGAUGUCCACCAAACGUUUUGCAUCGUCAAAAAUAAAAUCGGCUCCUUGAUUUCACCUCUCGCUGGUUAUUUUUAGAACAUAACACCCGCGAUAAACGAGGGACAGCUGAGAAAUAUAACAUUUGAAUCCCUUUUCUCUUUUGCUCUGAGGCGCGGGGGAAAUAUCAACAAGUCGAUGAACAUCAUUUACAGAUAUGUUGGGUAAAUGCCCGAGACAUCUAUAGAAAUGUAAAUCGCCGCUUGAUUCAUUUGCUUAACUUGUUUUGGACCGUAAACCAGGCGCGAAUAGGACACCGGAAACACAGCUCCCCACAGGAGUUUCCACACCGGAAGUAGCAUAUGCUAACGUGCACAUAGUCUAUAUUAUGUUGAAGCACACUACGUAUCACUCCGCGAGGCUCCGCCUACGAUAGCCGUAACGCUCCAACAAUCCAUCAAGCGGUGCGGCUUCGUAGCUCAGCAAAGUCGUACUGAAACAUCUGACAGAUUUUCGAGCACCGUGCACAUAAAAUCGUUUCGAGGUCAGUAAACACAACCAGAGUUCAUACAUAAGGCACACGGGAUUAUAAGGGGCUCUGUCGACUUUUCAGAUUUUAAGUGCGCCGUAUUUUCCAAACAACACGGUAAUAACGGCGGCCCGCUAGCAUGCUCCACCAAAAAUAGUGCUUUGUUGUGUAUCUGACGGACGAAAGCUAAACCAGUUCCACACCAGUGAAGCUGCAGCAUUUUUACAAACCAGUUCUGGUUCAUCCGUUUCAUUCAACGAUCCACUUUCGUCCUCCUCAUUCUGCGUCGCCGCCAUGAUUUUUCCGCCGUGUGCGUAUGAAAACAAAGGCACUGCGCAUGCACGUUUUACCCAUAUUCUAUCGCCAUGUUUCAUUUUCCUAUCAUUGCCCAACAUGACACCGGUGCUACCGUGAGCGGUAUGAUAAGAUAAGAUAACUUUUAUUAGUCCCACACGUGGGAAAUUUGUUUUGUCACAGCAGGAAGUGGACAGUGCAAAAGUUAUGAAGCAAAAAUUAGAAUACAAUAAGAAUAAAUACAGUACAGAAUAGAAUAGAAUAAAUACUAUAUACAUUAGAAUAAAAUAGAAUAAAAUAUACAAUAAGAUAAAAAUAGAAUACAAAUGCUAUACAACUGAGUAAAAAUACGAUGCCAGAAAAGUAUUGCACAUGUGUGGAUGUGUUUGAUCAGUUAAAGUCUUUGUUGUGGAGUCUGACAGCAGUGGGGAGGAAAGACCUGCGAAAUCUCUCCGUCCCACACCGUGGGUGCCGCAGUCUCCCACUGAAGGAGCUGCUCAGUGCUGUCACAGUCUGCUGCAUGGGGUGGGAGAUGUUGUCCAUCAGGGAUGACAGCUUAGCCGCCGUUCUCCUGUCACUCACCACCUCCACUGGGUCCAGAGGGCCUCCUAGAACAGAGCUGGCCUAGCCCUACUGUCACAGUUCAGCGUUGUUUGUCCGUCGCUUCUCCCGCCCUGAUCUCUGUCCUUCAGUCCAGCGUCAGUAAUGGAAAUGAACCAACGGGCUGUCCGGCUCACAGCAGGUAAUCUGCCUGGUAUGCCAGAUUACCCGUCCGGUGCCGGGAGGCAGACGGCUUGAGUGGAGGCUGACGGAGAGGCGAGUUUCCUAAAAGAGAUCAGCCUUGCGAUGUUACCGCACUUCACUGAGGCUCAGCCUUCAGCAGGUGUUUUGGAGACUGCUGAUCAGAAUUAUUGAUGGUUACAGAUGUAAAAAGGACCCCGUGGGUCUCUGUGUCACAGUGUACUGUAAUCCAGAUGUGACAGUAGCGAAGGUGUCCAGCAGGUGUGGCUGUGGAGCUGCUGUCAGGUGCAGUUCUGCCUCAGCGUCUCAGGCCCUCACAAACACAAACACUGUAGCUCCCUAACAACUGAAACCAUGUUGUGGACUCAGCUAAACUACAUUUAUUGUUUUUAUUUGUUAAUUUGAUAAAAUUCCUUUAUGGGCGUGUUUAUUGUGUUCGAAUAUCUUUGCUGCAUUUUAUAAAUCUGGCGUUUGUCAUAAAUACAGUGAUAUUGGAAAAAAGACAAACGAAUGAAAAGCCACUCUGGAAACCUGCUGAAGCUGAAGCUCAAAAUGAAGACUAGUAAGAAAAUAGGGGGCGGGGCUUUAUUCAUGUUUGAAUGCCUUUGAGACUCCGAACGUUUAUUUCAGUUUUUCUUUGCUGACUCUGCAGACUGUAAUGGAGGCUCCGGCCAGCAGGGGGCAGCAGGGGGCAGCAGGUGGUUUUACCUGAAGUCAUUACAGCUGAAGUUCUGUGUCUGUGAAUGAUGCAUGCUGGGAAAACGGACCGAGAGCCGCUGUGACAUCGGCACAGGUGAGCGGGUGGGUGGGAUUCUGGGACGUGCUCAGACUGAGGUGUGUCACAUGACCCUGCUGCUCUACAGGGUCCACCUCACUCAGCUGAGAGCAGGAAACGAAGCAGGAGCCGGGGAGUCUGCUCGUCCUCAGUGUUUACAUGAAACUAAUAAUACGAUUGUCAAUAAUCAAUGAACCAAUGUCUCUGACUCCUCUUAAAUCUGACUUCUUUAAAGUUCACCCAAAAACACUAAACCUCCACCGUCAAAUGUCGCUCUGCCUGGAAGUGAUGUAAUAAAAGGCCGACUGAAGCCCCUCCCACAGCAGUCUGUUCACAGAGGGGAGGGGCCGUGACAAAACCGGACUGAAGCGUACUCUGAUCCAGGCGGCACGUGGCGUCCACGACUUCCACGGAGUCCACGGCUACAAUCUAACCAUCAGUUUGUGUUCUUGCAGGUGGCUCUGCUCUCUGAUUUGAUCCUGAGCUGUGAUGUCAUCGGUGGCGCCUCAGCCACAAAGUUUCCUGACGGCGUCCUGUGUGAGCGCGGUGUCGGGAUGGUCUGUGGCUGUGCCGCAGUAAAGAGGAGGAGUUCUGAUCACGCGCCUCUGCGGUCUGUGAGCUCUGAUCCAGACUCUCCCAGCUGUGUCGUUCCAGCCAGUUUGGGACAAUUUGUUUUUAAUUUGCUGUUUAAAUGUUUUUAAACAGCCAAAUGCAGCAAAUCUCACACUGAUCAAAACUCUGCAAACUAAUGUUCAGUAUAUUUAUUUAUGCAUGGGAAUGAAAAAACUGGAAAUAAAUUAUUAAAUAUAUGAAUGAUUAAAUUACAGUUCUAUUAAUUUGACACACUUGUUCAAAUUUAAAUAGACUGGCGAGGAAAUGAUUAAGACGUAAACCUGAGGGGGGCUAAAUAAGUAUAAACAUAAGUGUAUACUUCUGCCUACUGCUUUUCAAACAGCUGAAUGGAUGAUGUUAUGGACUGUUGGUGAAUGUAUAUGUUCGAAAUAAAAAUGAACUGAACAUUGAAUAAAUUACUGAUUUACAAUUUAAAU
This is a long non-coding RNA of Astatotilapia calliptera (eastern happy), 5903 nucleotides long. The record is from Ensembl. Lineage: Eukaryota; Metazoa; Chordata; Actinopteri; Cichliformes; Cichlidae.